Molecule: ribosomal RNA, 476 nt
Filed under: uncultured bacterium
Lineage: Bacteria
Description: bacterial SSU rRNA
Rfam family: Bacterial small subunit ribosomal RNA
Source: RNAcentral
CUCUGUGACUCCUACGGGGAGGCAGCAGUGGGGGAAUAUUGCACAAUGGGCGCAAGCCUGAUGCAGCCAUGCCGCGUGUAUGAAGAAGGCCUUCGGGUUGUAAAGUACUUUCAGCAGUGAGGAAGGCGGGUACGUUAAUAGCGUGCUCGUUUGACGUUAGCUGCAGAAGAAGCACCGGCUAACUCCGUGCCAGCAGCCGCGGUAAUACGGAGGGUGCGAGCGUUAAUCGGAAUUACUGGGCGUAAAGCGCAUGCAGGUGGUUUGUUAAGUCAGAUGUGAAAGCCCGGGGCUCAACCUCGGAAUUGCAUUUGAAACUGGCAGACUAGAGUACUGUAGAGGGGGGUAGGAAUUUCAGGUGUAGCGGUGAAAUGCGUAGAGAUCUGAAGGAAUACCGGUGGCGAAGGCGGCCCCCUGGACAGAUACUGACACUCAGAUGCGAAAGCGUGGGGAGCAAACAGGAUUAGAUACCCUGGUAG